Long non-coding RNA from Neltuma alba, 299 nucleotides. RefSeq lists it as uncharacterized. The transcript is spliced from 3 exons. The record is from RefSeq and is a predicted model, not a curated record. Lineage: Eukaryota; Viridiplantae; Streptophyta; Magnoliopsida; Fabales; Fabaceae.
CGACAGAGUCAACUCGUUUUGCACUUUUCCUUGCUUGCCUGAUUUUUAGAUAAAUUUGCAAUUCUGAUCUAGUUUGCUUUUGCUCAUCCCUGCAUCUUUCCUUCUAAUCGAACCUGGGCCGGCUACGAUGUCGUCUCUCAGUAGAGAAUUGGUGUUCUUGAUUUUACAGUUUCUGGAAGAGGAAAAGUUCAAAGAGACUGUUCACAAGCUUGAACAAGAGUCUGGGUUUUUCUUUAAUAUGAAAUAUUUUGAGGAUGAAGUGCACAAUGGCAAUUGGGAUGAGGUUGAAAGAUAUCUCU